Molecule: ribosomal RNA, 905 nt
Filed under: uncultured delta proteobacterium
Lineage: Bacteria; Deltaproteobacteria
Description: bacterial SSU rRNA
Rfam family: Bacterial small subunit ribosomal RNA
Source: RNAcentral
AGAGUUUGAUCCUGGCUCAGAACGAACGCUGGCGGCGUGCUUAACACAUGCAAGUCGAACGAGAAAGCUUUCUUCGGAAAGUGAGUAGAGUGGCGCACGGGUGAGUAACGCGUAGGUAAUCUAUCCUUACAUUUGGGAUAACAUCGGGAAACUGGUGCUAAUACCGAAUGGUCUUCAUUGCUUUGGGGCGAUGGAGUAAAGGUGGCCUCUUCAUGAAAGCUACCGUGUAGGGAUGAGCCUGCGUACCAUUAGCUAGUAGGUGGGGUAAUGGCCCACCUAGGCUACGAUGGUUAGCGGGUCUGAGAGGAUGAUCCGCCACACUGGAACUGAAACACGGACCAGACUCCUACGGGAGGCAGCAGUGAGGAAUAUUGCGCAAUGGGGGAAACCCUGACGCAGCGGCGCCGCGUGAGUGAGGAAGGUUUUCGGAUCGUAAAGCUCUGUCAGAAGGGAAGAAGUGUUAUAUGGUUAAUACCCGUAUAAUUUGACGGUACCUUCAGAGGAAGCACCGGCUAACUCCGUGCCAGCAGCCGCGGUAAUACGGAGGGUGCAAGCGUUGUUCGGAAUUACUGGGCGUAAAGGGCGCGUAGGCGGCCUGAUAAGUCAGAUGUGAAAGUCCACGGCUCAACCGUGGAAGUGCAUUUGAAACUGUCAGGCUUGAGUAUCGGAGGGGAGUGUGGAAUUCCCGGUGUAGAGGUGAAAUUCGUAGAGAUCGGGAGGAACACCGGUGGCGAAGGCGACACUCUGGACGAAUACUGACGCUGAGGCGCGGAAGCGUGGGGAGCAAACAGGAUUAGAUACCCUGGUAGUCACGCCGUAAACGAUGUGAACUAGGGAUAGGGGGUGUUGAUCCCUCCUGUCCCGCAGCUAACGCAUUAAGUUCACCGCCUGGGGAGUACGGUCGC